CCCGCAACGAGCGCAACCCUUGCCAUUAGUUGCUACCAUUCAGUUGAGCACUCUAAUGGGACUGCCGGUGACAAACCGGAGGAAGGUGGGGAUGACGUCAAGUCCUCAUGGCCCUUAUGACCAGGGCUUCACACGUCAUACAAUGGUCGGUACAGAGGGUAGCCAAGCCGCGAGGUGGAGCCAAUCUCAUAAAACCGAUCGUAGUCCGGAUCGCACUCUGCAACUCGAGUGCGUGAAGUCGGAAUCGCUAGUAAU
RNAcentral lists this ribosomal RNA (255 nucleotides) under Aquitalea sp. July_NA1C4. RNAcentral describes it as "partial 16S ribosomal RNA". It matches the Rfam family "Bacterial small subunit ribosomal RNA", at positions 1086 to 1342 of the family's 1533-position model. The record is from RNAcentral. Lineage: Bacteria; Pseudomonadati; Pseudomonadota; Betaproteobacteria; Neisseriales; Chromobacteriaceae.